This 355-nucleotide ribosomal RNA is filed under the name uncultured bacterium. RNAcentral describes it as "bacterial SSU rRNA". It matches the Rfam family "Bacterial small subunit ribosomal RNA", at positions 8 to 354 of the family's 1533-position model. The record is from RNAcentral.
AGAGUUUGAUCAUGGCUCAGGAUGAACGCUAGCUACAGGCUUAACACAUGCAAGUCGAGGGGCAGCAUGGUCUUAGCUUGCUAAGGCCGAUGGCGACCGGCGCACGGGUGAGUAACACGUAUCCAACCUGCCGUCUACUCUUAGACAGCCUUCUGAAAGGAAGAUUAAUACAAGAUGGCAUCAUGAGUCCACAUGUUCACAUGAUUAAAGGUAUUCCGGUAGACGAUGGGGAUGCGUUCCAUUAGAUAGUAGGCGGGGUAACGGCCCACCUAGUCUUCGAUGGAUAGGGGUUCUGAGAGGAAGGUCCCCCACAUUGGAACUGAGACACGGUCCAAACUCCUACGGGGCGCAGCAG